CGAAAGCCUGACUUCGGUUGGGCAAGUAGAGUGGCAAACGGGUGAGUAACACGUGGAUAACCUACCCUCGAGUGGGGAAUAACCCCGGGAAACUGGGGCUAAUACCGCAUACGAUCCAUCGGACUAAGUCCGGUGGCUGAAAGCCUUCGGGCGCUGGAGGAGGGGUCCGCGGCCGAUUAGCUAGUUGGCGGGGUAAAAGCCCACCAAGGCACAGAUCGGUAGCCGGCCUGAGAGGGCGCACGGCCACACUGGCACUGAGACACGGGCCAGACUCCUACGGGAGGCAGCAGUGGGGAAUCUUGGACAAUGGGCGAAAGCCUGAUCCAGCGACGCCGCGUGACUGAUGAAGCCUUUCGGGGUGUAAAAGUCUUUCGGCAGGGACAAUAAUGAUGGUACCUGCAGAAGCAGCUGCGGCUAACUACGUGCCAGCAGCCGCGGUAAUACGUAGGCAGCUAGCGUUGUUCGGAAUUACUGGGCGUAAAGCGAGUGUAGGCGGUUUGCCAAGUCCGUUGUGAAAUCUCCCGGCUCAACUGGGAGGGUGCGGCGGAAACUGGCAGGCUAGAGUGCGGAAUGGGAGAGUGGAAUUCCUGGUGUAGCGGUGAAAUGCGUAGAUAUCAGGAGGAACACCGGUGGUGAAGAUGGCUCUCUGGACCGCUACUGACGCUGAGACUCGAAAGCGUGGGGAGCAAACAGGAUUAGAUACCCUGGUAGUCCACGCCCUAAACGAUGCAUACUUGGUGUGGGCUCUUCACUGAGUCCGUG
This 762-nucleotide ribosomal RNA is filed under the name uncultured Acidobacteriota bacterium. RNAcentral's name for it is "bacterial SSU rRNA". It matches the Rfam family "Bacterial small subunit ribosomal RNA", at positions 67 to 845 of the family's 1533-position model. The record is from RNAcentral. Lineage: Bacteria; Pseudomonadati; Acidobacteriota.